CUCUUUAAUUGGGCCUCAGGUCAUUUAUUCAAUCUUUUUGCAAAGCAUAAAGACGGUCUUUUAUGCUCGCUGGUGCGGAGGGUGGGGUAGACCUAGGCGGCGGAGGUGCGGUGGCCGGCCGCAGGAGGCGGUGCGGUAGGUGGCGGCACGGCAGGAGGGGCGUGGCGCCGGACGGAGGAGAGGCGGCACGGGAGGAGGAGCGCGGCAGGCUCAGGAGGCGCGCGGCAAGCGGCUGCGGCUCCGGGUCCGGUCGGGCGAGGCCCGGGCGCGGCGGCUGCCGCUGCCCGACGAGUCGUGCGAAGAGCGACGGUACCCGUUGCUGGCCCUCCUCCUCCUCCUGCGCGUCCUCCGCCCCAUCGCAGUCUUAGUCGCGUGCAGCCUAGGUCGUACGACGAGGAGAGGGAAGGGUUCAGCGGGACCUAGAGCGCUACGACCUCCACCGGCGCCAGCAACGAUACCUCCCGAGCGGUGGGCGGAGGCCUCAGGGUGCAGGAGCUCUAGUUGCUCUAACGGUUCGGCUCCAGUAGUAGAGAGCUGCCCGAGGAGGUAGUGAAGACCAAAGUGUGUUACCGACACCCGACGGAGAGGGAGAGCUAGGACGCGAGGAGGAGGAGGCCAAGUCCAAAGUCCGGCACCGAAUACCAGCGGAGAGGUAUAGGUAGGAAGGUUAGACCUCGUGUCCACCUCUCGGACCGACACACACCGCCUCUACCGCGGGGCGUAGACGCGGGAUAUUCGGGUCUGUCUCGAGGCGGCUCCGGUACUGGAGGUGUCCUCCCCUCCGGCGUUCCGCCCUCUCGGUCGUCGCCGUAAGACAAACCCCUACGCACCUAGACCACUACGACCUCGUCCCCUUGUCCUUUGUAGUGUAGGCGUUGCCGCAAAGUUUAUCGGUUAAAUGGAAAGAGGGAUUUCUCCCUUGUAGCAGACUACCCUGUCGAGGACUUAGUUACAGUGUAUUCCGUUGUUGUAUGAACCUCCUCAACUCUACUCAACUAGUGUAGGAGUAAACAGAAACGUACAACGUUGUCCCCGUCACAUGAAAAAAAUAUCGUUUUGUAAGGAUGAAAUCUAUCUUCUUGAAUACCCCGUGUAGUCUACAUGACUGGUGAGGAAUCAGGGUUCUUGCCCUGAUUGUUAAAAAGAGUUCAAGACGACGACAUAACAUGAUCUUCAGACAAGUAGUUUGACGGAAUAGUUGGUAAACGAUAAUUGGGAGUUUGUAGAUUGAAAAAAAACUGUAGGAGUUUGUAGACUGUAUAAAGAAUCGUCGACGGAAGACUGGGAGGGGAAGUGGGAAAAGCCUAUCAAAACAAAACGUUUAUGGGAAAGGACUAUCGAUACAGGGUGGUAGACGUAGUUUUGUUCUCUUUCCCCGUCUACUAGACAACCGGUGUCUGUAACGAAGGACGUUAACUGGUAUAAUAACUAGUUCCCGGUCGUUUUUAUAUCUCUAAAGUUAAUUAAAAUGGCAGCUGGUUCAUUUGACGUUAAGCACUCGACCCUGCUACUUUCUUCUUCUUUAUACUAAAUUACCGUUUUUUAUUCAGUUGUUACAACAGACUACACGUACUCCUAAACCAUGUGCAAAUUGUAUUCUUAUACAUACGGAAGUUCGGAUUAAAAACACGGAACGUACAACACAAGAAAAUCAUAUAUAAAAAGAGGGCAACGUUGUGUGCCCGUAAAAACGAUCAUAUAGAUAGAUAGGGAUUACGGAUUAGGGAUUAUUAUUCCGUGCCUAACUGAGGCACCCAAGUGGCAGUGUUAUGCGAAGAGGAGCACUUAAAUACGAAAGUCAAAAAAGUGGAUAUAAUAAAAGAUGUAGGCUCCACCAUGAUAAAGUAGGUUUUUGCAAAUUAAGGUCUUAAAAUAGGCAAGUGCACACCCGGCGAACGGGACAGACGAAGCGACAGCGACCAGACUGAGGGAGCGAUAGUAGCCGGGCACAACAUUUUUUUACAAAGCGACAAAUGAGGAGAGUGGGUAGAGGAAGAAACUGGGUGUGUGCUUGUUCGAUCCCAACCUCGGCGGUGGGGAGGCCGGACGGGCGGCCUCGAGGCAGGCGGUGAGAAGAGGUAGAAGAGGGGGGUGGAGAUGAGGGGGUCCGGGUUGACACCACCUACUGUACGGGCGGCCGCGAGGUAUGAGGGGAGAAGAGGUAGAAAGGGGAGCGGUAGAGGGAGGAGUGAGGGACAAGGCGGGGGUGGGGAUGACGACGUCCGAGUUGGUACCACCAGUUGUGCCCCUACACUCGCACGUGCCCGCCGCAGCCACCUGUUCUCUACGCAUCUCCUAGAGUUCACGACGUCUGCGACCGCUCUAUAAGGUUUUAUUUCCUCCGCCGAUCUCCUUCGUAACCUCCGGUUCAAGUCGUCGUUGCCAGUCGGCAGCAGCCACCGGCCUACUGCUGUAGACAUUUCCUUACUCCCACCAGCCUCUGGCUGUUGUCCCCCGAUGACUUGAUCCGUUCGAUGGUAGUGAGGUAGUAGGGACCUCUAGCAAACCACUACAGACGACGUAGUGUAAUACCUGGCCUCCGCGCCUGACGGGGCGUGUUCCGUAACCGUCCUUAAGAACUACUAACUCCUUUAAUACCGUCCGUAAGAACUACCAUAUAAUUUAGAACCAAACUACCCAUGAAAACACUUCUUUGAUAACUCAGGGUCCGGACUACUCAUAAUGUGCCGUACUCUUUAAGUUCUUAACUUACUCUUCUCACUUCUGCUGAUCGUCCAACCCAAGAGAUUCCUUACGGGUAUGCUUGAGCGAUACCGCUCCUACUAAGUUACUUACCUGUACAGCUAGUACGAGUCGAUCAACGCGUCAAUCUUCAACCUUAGCUUGGGCUUUUCAAACACCUCAGGCACGACUGUUGGGAUGGUCGACCCUCCCUGUACUCUUCUUGAUAAAAAAGAGGACAACGUUGUGUGACCGGCUUCCAAUGUUCACACGUUUGGGCAUAACAACAAAUAUUUCUACCUUAAAUAAUCAGCAAAACCGAUAGCUUAACCACUACGUUAGGCAGGGGUGUAGACACAGAAGUGGUGAAGCAGGAGGGCGUGUUAGUCGUCUUGUCUCGUCGACGUCGCUAAACCGGUAAGUAGAGAAGCUCACUAAGUUUGGAUCCUUCGGACGAUGAACGCGUUCGUUGUACUGAGAAGGAAGUUCCUUUAGAUUAAUAGAUCCAUAUACCUUUCCUCCGUUUAAUACAUUGAUAAACCCGCAGUAGUACGAGACGAUACGUCUAACUCCUCUUUCUCAAUAAAAUAACACUACUACUAAUUAAAAAAGUAGAACACUAGAAGAAACGAGUUCAGUCGGAUGUAUACAAUAGACAAACACAGGGCCUCGCGCCGACGCCACUCCCCGACGUGCCGCACCUUCAACCCCUCCUCCUCGCGGUGCCGCUCCCACCUCCGCUCGUGCUACUCGCCGUCCUUCUCGGGCGGCACCGCGCGGUCCCCCUCCCACUGCAGGAAGGUUCUCGCUGGCGGUCUCCGACGGCUAGGCCUCGUCAACUACCGGUGGCGCCGGCGUGCCCGCUCCCUGCGUUCUUGCUACACCACUGGAAGAAACUACACACGGUAAAACAGAGAGAAGGAACGCAGAGUACGAAACUAAACCCACAAGAAACCAAACAAGUAUAAUAGUGAUGCAAGAGCUCACUGAUUAGUCACGACGAUCUUAUAAUCUUUCUACACGCAUGUCUAAAAACCGAACAAGAAGAAGUAACUACGUCCACACAUUCCUUAACCAAGCUUUGAAGCUUAUUACUAAAAGACAUGUUGGAUAGACGGACUCAGGGUACGUAACUAAAAACGUUGUAACGUUUCUAGAUAGAGACAAUUCAACUAUGGAGAAGUGUUAAAAUCAAUACUUACAAUAUGGUCACAGGAAAAAUCGUAGUUAAGUACUAAUAAUAGAGAAGGGUUAAACUUAAAAGUUAAAAGAGGACAAUAAAACAAACUACAAUCUAAAGGACAACUACUCUCUCCUUGUGCUUAUAAUCAACAAGUCAUGAAGUACGUUACUAUGUUGAUGUUAGACGUCGUAUGAUGAACCUGAACGUACAUCAGACUUUUACUAAGGGCCGGACAUAUAAACGGAUACCUCCAUGACAUAUGUACGACGCACGAAGGAGUAUAAAUUUAAUCUGUAGCCUACAAGUCAUAAAAGAUGUUUAACUAACGUCCGUACGUUCUAACAACUUCCCGUUUACAUGAGAUUCUUCGACUUACUAUUUGGUCCAAUGGUUGUAUAAAUCUCGAAGGAAAACCCUAAACACGUCCGGUACCAGACCUCCUGUACAGGCCAAGUGAUUGAGUUAAAGUUCCUUUGUCACCUUUCUGUCUUUUUCCUUUGGUGUACCUAAAUCUUUAAAGUCGUAACAUCUCGAGUCAACUUUUCCUUUUGCUCUAAAUAUUGUUAGUUGGUCUCACCACUAAGCUAAAAACUGUUAACCAUGAAACCAACACACCAGCUACUUCUGUACUCUAACUAAACCUACCCCGUCAUCCAAACGAGCCUCUCCUCCACUCUUCCUGCCUCUAUCUUCUUCUUGGAACUCUACUAUCACUAUAAUAACUGAGUUAUGAAAUAACCGAGAUGAAACACAGCUAGAAAGUCCACGUACUUAUCAUUAAACACGUUUUGAUGCGAAAGGGAACAGUAAACUAUUAACAAAAAGAAAUACCACGAGUACUGUAUAAAAAAAUAGAUGUGAAUGGAGG
RNAcentral lists this ribosomal RNA (4733 nucleotides) under Triticum aestivum (bread wheat). Its description in RNAcentral is "partial small subunit ribosomal RNA". The record is from RNAcentral. Lineage: Eukaryota; Viridiplantae; Streptophyta; Magnoliopsida; Poales; Poaceae.